UGGGGGAAUAUUGGGCAAUGGGCGCAAGCCUGACCCAGCAACGCCGCGUGAAGGAAGAAGGCUUUCGGGUUGUAAACUUCUUUUGACAGGGAAGAGUAGAAGACGGUACCUGUCGAAUAAGCCACGGCUAACUACGUGCC
This 140-nucleotide ribosomal RNA is filed under the name uncultured bacterium. RNAcentral's name for it is "partial 16S ribosomal RNA". It matches the Rfam family "Bacterial small subunit ribosomal RNA", at positions 354 to 509 of the family's 1533-position model. The record is from RNAcentral.